This 88-nucleotide non-coding RNA is filed under the name Agathobaculum butyriciproducens. Its description in RNAcentral is "Cyclic di-GMP-I riboswitch". It matches the Rfam family "c-di-GMP-I riboswitch aptamer". Rfam says of the family: GEMM was predicted in a large-scale screen for bacterial structured RNA regulatory elements. Genes associated with GEMM are involved in a diverse array of functions, including chemotaxis regulation, signal transduction, secretion and chitin. Lineage: Bacteria; Bacillati; Bacillota; Clostridia; Eubacteriales; Butyricicoccaceae. The record is from RNAcentral.
CAGAAAAAGGCACAGCCGGUGAAAGCCGGUGUCGCAAAGCCAUGGGUCUACCCGGAGUAAUUACUCCGUAGGACAGCCGGUUGCCGAA